This 1182-nucleotide long non-coding RNA is filed under the name Canis lupus familiaris (dog). RNAcentral describes it as "lncRNA (ENSCAFG00040017108.1)". Lineage: Eukaryota; Metazoa; Chordata; Mammalia; Carnivora; Canidae. The record is from RNAcentral.
AUGACACGAUCAAAAAGCGUAAAGACAGUUGCAAGGAGAAAAAACAUGAAUGAAUGUGGAGGGCGGAGCCUGGGAAAACCCCUCUGCAACGCUGCACUGAACAAAGCGCUUCGCAUGCCAGGAGGAGGGGGGAAUGGAAGUGCCAGCUCAGGAAGGAGCCCGGAGUGGAUGCGGAGAGGAGGAGGAGGAGGAGGAGGAGGAGGAGGAGGAGGAGGAGGAGGAGGAGGCCGGUAUGAGGCGAGCGCGGCAGCCCUGAGACUCCUCCUCGCCGCCGGCUCCAGCUCCGGCUCCGCCACCGCCCCCUCCCCUCCCUCCCUCCCUCCCCUCCCCUCCCCUCCCCAGCAGCAACUCCUUCCCCAGCCCGACCCCAGGGCGAGCCGGAGCCGACCCGCGCCCAGACCCUCCGCCCGCUUCCCAACUGCUGCAGGCGCGUACUCCCAACCCGGAAAGAAACUACCCAGGUGGCUGGGAGUAAACAGGCACUUGGAGCAAAGAACGAAAGGGAAAGAAAGCCACAAAGCCGGGAGGUUGGGAAGCCGAGGCCUGGUCUCCCUCACCCCCCCCCCACCCUCUUGCAAAAAUGCGUCUGCGGCUGGAACGCGGGUGGGGAGGCUGGGUCCCUCCGUACCUGCUCGCCUCGCAGGACCGCAGCUCGGGCCGCUCGCGCGCGGCGAGGGCGCCCAGAAGUGCCAAGUGUCUCCCGCACGCAGCCAUCCCCUCCGCAAGGUCGGCGGCUGCACACACACACACACACACACACGCGCGCACACACGCGCGCCCGCACGCCCCCCGCCCGCGCAGGGGGACGCGGUCCUGCCCCCUCCCCCCGCGCCCUCCCAGCUGCAGCGCCCCCGCCGCCCAGCCCGCGCCGAACCUGCUGCCAGGACGCCCGGCGGAGCCGCUGCCGCUGCAGCCGGCCCGGGAGCUGCGCUGCUGAUGGCGGCGGCCGCAGCUCGGAAUCUCCGCGACCCCCGUGCGGCGGCGGCGGCGGCGGCAGCGGCGGCGCCCGGGAUCCCUCCUUCACUUGACAACCCCAAACACAAACAUCGCCCCCUCCCGCGGCUGCUCCCGGCCCCCGGCUCCGGCCCCCUCCCCGCCGCCGCCGCCGCCGCCGCCGCCCCAGCAGCAGCCACCCCGGAGGCCGGCGACUGGCGCUCACACCACCCAGCGCUGAAAUAUUAA